RNAcentral lists this long non-coding RNA (328 nucleotides) under Physcomitrium patens. RNAcentral describes it as "long non-coding RNA (PPAT_LNC007155)". The record is from RNAcentral. Lineage: Eukaryota; Viridiplantae; Streptophyta; Bryopsida; Funariales; Funariaceae.
ACAGCGAAAGGGAAAAAGGCAUGAUAAUGUUUAACGAUAAGGCAUGUAUUAGAAUUCAACAAGCCCCACGCUGAACAUAACUUCGACCAAAAAUUUAGAAGACUUUGCAAGACAACGAAAAUCUACUAACACGUAUACACAAAAGCCGGUAGGAAACGCAUUCCUAACAUCAAGCGAAGGUAGCUAGGUGAAGGCGUAAGAAGGAUACAAGCAAAUAAUAUGGAAUCUUAAAAACAUCAGAGGAAUACCCAUCCAAUUCUGCACAUGGCAUGCUACUGGGUUGCUCACUUUGCAAAUGGCACCACAGGAGCUAACCAUAAACUGAACC